Molecule: ribosomal RNA, 253 nt
Filed under: uncultured bacterium
Lineage: Bacteria
Description: partial 16S ribosomal RNA
Rfam family: Bacterial small subunit ribosomal RNA
Source: RNAcentral
AACAGAGGUCCCGAGCGUUGUUCGGAUUCACUGGGCGUAAAGGGUGCGUAGGUGGCCUGAAAAGUUUGAUGUGAAAGCUCAGGGCUUAACCCUGAAAUGGCAUUGAAUACUGUCGGGCUGGAGGUUUGGAGGGGGGACUGGAAUUCUUGGUGUAGCAGUGAAAUGCGUAGAUAUCAAGAGGAACACCAGUGGCGAAGGCGAGUCCCUGGACAACACCUGACACUGAGGCACGAAAGCUAGGGGAGCAAACAGG